RNAcentral lists this ribosomal RNA (935 nucleotides) under uncultured archaeon. RNAcentral describes it as "bacterial SSU rRNA". It matches the Rfam family "Archaeal small subunit ribosomal RNA", at positions 1 to 922 of the family's 1478-position model. The record is from RNAcentral.
UUCCGGUUGAUCCUGCCGGACCCGACUGCUAUUUGGGUGAGGAUAAGCCAUGCGAGUCGAAUGGGAUGCCUAAAAUUCCCAUGGCAAACUGCUCAGUAACACAUGAUCAACUUACCCUAUAGAGAAAAAUAACCUCGGGAAACUGAGGAUAAUGUUUCAUAAUUGAAUCGGCUUGGAAAAGUUUUUCAAUUAAAAGAAUAAGAAAAAUGGUCCUUGUUCGCUAUAGGAUAGGAUCGUGGACGAUUAUGGUUGUUGGUGAGGUAACGGCUCACCAAGCCGAUAAUCGAUAGGGGCCGUGAGAGCGGGAGCCCCGAGAUGGGUACUGAGACAACGACCCAGGCCUUACGAGGCGCAGCAGGCGCGGAACCUCCGCAAUACACGAAAGUGUGACGGGGUUACCCAAAGUGUUCAUUAUUGAACUGUGGUAGGUGAGUAAUGUUCCCUACUAGAAAGGAGAGGGCAAGGCUGGUGCCAGCCGCCGCGGUAAAACCAGCUCUUCAAGUGGUCGGGAUAAUUAUUGGGCUUAAAGUGUCCGUAGCUGGUUUAGUAAGUUCCUGGUAAAAUCGGGUAGCUUAACUAUCCGUAUGCUAGGAAUACUGCUAUACUAGAGGGCGGGAGAGGUCUGAAGUACUACAGGGGUAGGGGUGAAAUCUUAUAAUCCUUGUAGGACCACCAGUGGCGAAGGCGUCAGACUGGAACGCGCCUGACAGUGAGGGACGAAAGCCAGGGGAGCGAACCGGAUUAGAUACCCGGGUAGUCCUGGCCGUAAACGAUGCAUACUAGGUGAUGGUACGGCCAUGAGCCGUAUCAGUGCCGUAGGGAAACCGUUAAGUGUGCCGCCUGGGAAGUACGGUCGCAAGGCUAAAACUUAAAGGAAUUGGCGGGGGAGCACCACAAGGGGUGAAGCCUGCGGUUCAAUUGGAAUCAACGCCGGA